This is a non-coding RNA of Malus domestica (apple), 4583 nucleotides long. The record is from RefSeq and is a predicted model, not a curated record. NCBI's taxonomy places the organism in Eukaryota, Viridiplantae, Streptophyta, Magnoliopsida, Rosales, Rosaceae.
CUGAAUUAUUGGAUGCACCACCUUUUUCACGUUACAAAAAGUUAAACCUACCGACAUUGUUGUCCAUCAUAUCUUCCUCCAUUGCACUAGUAUUGUCUCGAAGAAGAGAGAAACUAAAAACUCUGAUUAGCUGAGUUGCAGGGAAUUGAAGGAAUGGCGGCUGAAGCUGUGCUUACUUUUGCUGCGGAGGGAAUACUGAACAAGGUGCUUUCGCUUCCUGCUCAAGAAUUCGGUCUUGCAUGGGGUUUCAAAGCUGAACUCAGAGAGGUUCGAAAGUCAUUCACCGGCAUUGAAUGUUUCUUGGUUGAUGUUGCCGACCAACCACAAGGUCGGAGCAAGUCAAUAGAGGAAUGGGUGAAGAACCUCAAAGACGUAGCUCAGGAUGCUGAGGAUGUCUUGGAUGAACUCCAGUACGAAGUUGAUCGGCGUAAAGUCGAAAUCCAAAACCAUAUGAAGAAAAAGGUUCUUAACUUCUUUUCACUCUCCAAUCCACUUGCAUUUCGUCUUCAAAUGGCGCAUAAAAUGCAGAAGAUCAAUGCAUCCUUGGUGGAACUCAAGAGUGAAGCAUCUGUUCUUGGACUAGUUUCCAAGAAUAAAGGUGCAACCCCUCAGGGGAUCAGAUGGGAUAGACAAACCGACUCACGUAUUGGCAGAGAUGGAAUAACUGUUGGAAGGGGAGAGGUUGUGACAAAAAUAGUUACAACCUUGACCGACUCCAAGUACAAUCAAGAAAAUCCUGCGGUUAUGGCCAUCGUGGGAAUGGGUGGCCUCGGAAAGACAACAUUGGCCAAGUCCGUUUAUAAUGAGGCUUUGAUACACAAGCAUUUCGAAACAGGAAUAUGGGUUUGUGUAUCGGACACUUUUCGAUGUUGAUUUAAUUCUACUCAAGAUGUUAGAACAACUUAAACCGGCAAACGCCCCUUCUUCGAAAGAUAACCGGAAGCUCUGCUUAAGUUCCUUAAUGAAGAGUUGAAAGAUAAAAGAUACAUACUCGUACUUGAUGACGUUUGGAACGAAGAUUCCGGAAAAUGGGAGAAUUUGAUGGAAUGUUUGUCAAAGCUUUAUUCUGCUGCAGGAUCUAAAAUUGUUGUCACUACUCGCAAGUGGAAAUGUUGCAUCAAUCUCAGAAAAAUUACUUGCACGACAUGAUCUGGAACACCUUUCAGUAGAUGAAUGUUGGUCCAUCAUAAAAGAUGGAGCUUUCCUCAAUAGCAGUGAUCAUAUAACUCAUGAAUUCCAGACAGUUGGAAUGAAGAUUGCUGAAAAUUGUGGUGGUGUUCCAUUAGUGGCAAAGGUUUUGGGAGGCAUUUUGCACACUAAAAAAAGUAUUGAAGAAUGGUCAUUGUUUCAAAACAGUAUAAUAUGGCACAACCUAUCAAAAGAAGAAGAUAGAAUUAUGCGAGUGUUGAAGUUGAGUUUUGACAACUUAGAAUCACCAUCGUUGAAGCAAUGUUUUUCAUACUGCUCAAUGUUCGAAAAAGAUUUUGAAAUUCAAAGAGAGAACUUGAUUCAACUUUGGAUGGCUCAAGGACUACUCCACUCUUUGCUUGGCGAAAGUAAAGAUAUGGAAGACAUUGGCAAUGAAUAUUUUGAUGUUCUAUUGCAGAGAUCCUUAUUUCAAGAUGCUGGAAUGAGUCAUAAUGGCAUUGUUAGAAAAUACAAGAUGCAUGAUCUUGUGCACGAUAUGGCGGAACUUGUAUCCAAAUCAGAAAGCUUGACUGGAGACUUACGUGGCAUAGAUAAUACAAAUGAGAUUCGACAUGUUGCUCGGGUUUCUACUUCUAUGCUGGAUAAACUUCCAGAAAUAAGUGCUAGGAAAUUGCGGUCGUUGUUUUUCGACGAUGGUGAAGUUCCUAGUAACAUUUUGGCACGGUUCAAAGCUUUACGUGUCUUAAAUUUAAGUAAUGCUAAUAUUGAAGAAUUUCCAGUUUCAGUUGGAAGACUGAAACACUUGAGGUAUCUUGACAUUUCUGAAACAAGAUUCAAAUCAUUCCCCAAGUCUAUAGGCAAGCUCUAUAACCUUCAGACGUUAAGAGCAACGAAUUGUGCUCUUAAAGAGUUUCCAAAAGAACUGCAAAACUUGACCAACCUGAGACAUAUUUAUUUUGAUGAGAGUACAAAAUUCCCCCAGGGUAUAAGUCGGCUAACAUGCCUUCGAACAUUACCUUACUUUUCGGUGGGUAAUGAAAUUGGUCGUCAAAUUGAAGAGUUGGCUGGCUUGAAACAAUUGAAAGGUAAACUAAUUAUUCGUAAUCUGGAGCACGUAAAGAAUGGAGAAGAAGCAAAGAAAGCUAAGUUACAUGAUAAGAGGGAAGUAUGCCAUUUAAGCUUCAAAUGGACAAAAGAUAGGUCAAUAACCAACAACAAUGAAGAUGGGGAUGUACUGGAAGGCCUCCGACCGCAUCCUGGGUUGGAGAGCUUAUGUAUUGAAAACUUCAUGGGAGAUAGGUUUCCAUCGUGGAUGAUGAGAAGGUCAUUACUACUCAACAACUUGAAGGGCAUUAAGCUACUUGGAUGCGACAAAUGUGAAGGAGUCCCACCGCUUGGUCAUCUGCCCAAUCUUACGGAGCUUAAUAUUAAUGGAAUGGCUAAUUUGACAUGCCUUGGAGUUGAAUUCUAUGGUUAUGAUCUUGUCCACGAUGUAGCCACGACAGGUAAGGAGAAAAUUACUUUAUUUCCUGCACUAAAAGUAUUACAUAUUGUGAAGUGCAACAAUCUAAUUGAAUGGAUGGAAGCGCCAAUGAUGUCAACACAAAAAGUUGUGGUUUUUCCUUGCCUCGAGGAGUUGGAUAUCAAAGAUUGUUCCAAAUUGAGAAAUGUUCCGAGUCAUUUUCCAUCUCUUCAAAAGUUGGUGAUAAAUUAUAGUGAUAGUGGAACGCCAAUAGAAGAAAUAAGCAGUGAAUUAACAACUCUUGUUUCCCUCGAAAUAAAUGGUAUUAAGGAGCUUACCUGUUUGCCACAAGGAAUUUUGAAGAACAAUAAUAAUCUCUCAUCUUUGACGAUAAACGGAUGCGAUAAGCUGAGGCAUUUGGCGGAUGGGCUAGACACACUCCCUCUCCUUGAAUACCUGGAUAUUGGUUAUUGUGAACAAUUGUCAGGCCUACCGAGUGGGAUACGGUACUGCCCCUCUCUCCAGAAAUUGCAUUUACAAUGUUGCGAUGGACUAUCAGGCCCACUGAGUGUAUGGGCCUCUCUCAUGGAUUUGAAUAUAGUGCAUUGCCGUAAUCUGACAUCAAUUGAAAUCAAAGGCGGCGUGUCCUCUCUUCAGAAGUUGACAAUCUAUUAUUGCGAAGAAUUAUCGAGUUUACCUGCUCUUCCUCCCUCUCUUCAGGUAUUUCAUAUAAGUGAAUGCCCAAAGGUCCAAAGUAACAGCAUUAGUCUACAAUCUUUUUCAGAUUUGCGCACCUUCACCUCCCUUCGAGUACUGAUAAUUGUCCAAUGUGAAGGAUUGGAAAGUUGGGUGAGCAGGCUGCAAUUCCCACUCUCUCUUGAGACGCUACAAUACAGGAUUUCCCUAAUUUAGAGAUUCUUCCAAGUUUAGACAACCUCACUUCUCUCCGUUAUUUGGGGAUUGUAAAUUGGCGAAAGCUAAAACAUCUGCCGACGGGGUUACAACGGCUCCCGCACUUGGAGGGAUUGAGCAUCGGUGGGUUCUGGGAGGAGCUCGAUUCCUUCCCUGAUUUUCAAGUUGGAUCAUUAAUGCAUCUUAGAUGGUUAACGUUGUAUGGUUGGCCUAAGCUCAAGUCUCUGCCUCAACAAAUUCAACACCUCACUUCUCUAACAGAUUUGAGAGUACAUCACUUUGAGGGAGUGGAGACUUUGCCAGAAUGGUUGGGUAGCCUUACAUCCCUUACACUUCUAUGGAUUGAAGAUUGCAAGAAUCUGACCAAUUUACCUAGUGUCCAAGCUAUGCAACGCCUCACCAAAUUACAAAUCCUGUGGAUUAAUCACUGUCAUCCCCUUCUAAAGCAAAGAUGCAGCAGGGACAGCGGCACAGAUUGGCCUAAGAUUUCUCACAUUCCAAAUAUCGAAAUUUGGUAGGUCACACAGUAGUUGGAUGGAAGGUAGGCAGCACCUUACCAAACUACAGCAAAUGUGUAUUGGAAAAACCAAAUUUCAUGGUGUGCAAGGCCACAAGAUUAUUUGUAUUCCAGUUUCAUGUUCAAACCAACUCCAAAUGGCUCCAACUUUCGCAUUGAAAUUAAGUCAUUGGCGUCUAUAUUUCUUUUGGCCUGCAGUGGCGUUUUUCAGGAUGCUCAAUGGGUGCAAACUGAGUUAAGUUUGCUUAUUCCAUUGGUUCCUGCAUUGUUUGUUUAUAUUAUCCCAAGACUGUUUUCAGAAUAACGAUGUUGAUAUAAUAUAUAGAACUGUUGUAAUUGCUUUCGUAUGAAGAUUUAGGACUGAGUUUUGAGGCUCCUUGUAAUAUCUGAAUUGUAUGCGCGUUGAUUUGAAUACUAUUGAUUUUGUGUCUGUAGUUGAUAUCGCUCUUUAGCCGACCCCACUUAGUGGGAAAAGGCUUUGUUGUUGUUGUUGUUGUAGUUGAUAUCGCUCUAUUAACUUAAUGAACUAUUGAGUACCCAUAU